RNAcentral lists this ribosomal RNA (640 nucleotides) under uncultured bacterium. Its description in RNAcentral is "bacterial SSU rRNA". It matches the Rfam family "Bacterial small subunit ribosomal RNA", at positions 8 to 629 of the family's 1533-position model. The record is from RNAcentral.
AGAGUUUGAUUAUGGCUCAGGACUAACGUUGGCGGCGUGCGUAAUACAUGCAAGUCGAGCGGGGUGGUAGCAAUACCAUCUAGCGGCGAACGGGUGAGUAACACGUGGAUGAUCUACCCUUUAGAUCGGGACAACUGACCGAAAGGUUAGCUAAUACCGGGUAUGACCACGGCCUGUAUCAUCAGGCUGCGGUAAGAGCAGGGGACCGCAAGGCCUUGCGCUAAAGGAUGAGUCCGCGGCUGAUUAGCUAGUUGGCGGGGUAAUGGCCCACCAAGGCGACGAUCAGUAGCCGGCCUGAGAGGGUGACCGGCCACACUGGGACUGAGACACGGCCCAGACUCCUACGGGAGGCAGCAGUAGGGAAUUUUCCACAAUGGGCGAAAGCCUGAUGGAGCAACGCCGCGUGAGGGAUGAAGCAUUUCGGUGUGUAAACCUCUUUGGAGCGGGAAGAAUGGCUUCGUGGUGAAUAAUCAUGGAGCGUGACGGUACCGCUAGAACAAGACACGGCUAACUUCGUGCCAGCAGCCGCGGUAAUACGAAGGUGUCAAACGUUGUCCGGAAUUAUUGGGCGUAAAGGGCGCGUAGGCGGCCAGGUAAGUCAGAUGUGAAAGCUCUGGGCUCAACCCAGGAAUUGCAUUUG